AGCGAACGCUGGCGGCAGGCUUAACACAUGCAAGUCGAGCGGGCAUAGCAAUAUGUCAGCGGCAGACGGGUGAGUAACGCGUGGGAACGUACCUUUUGGUUCGGAACAACUGAGGGAAACUUCAGCUAAUACCGGAUAAGCUCUUACGGGGAAAGAUUUAUCGCCGAAAGAUCGGCCCGCGUCUGAUUAGCUAGUUGGUGAGGUAAUGGCUCACCAAGGCGACGAUCAGUAGCUGGUCUGAGAGGAUGAUCAGCCACAUUGGGACUGGGACACGGCCCAAACUCCUACGGGAGGCAGCAGUGGGGGAUAUUGGAAAACGGGCGCAAGCAUGAUGCAGCCAUGCCGCGUGAGUGAUGAAGGCCGUAGGGUUGUAAAGCUCAUUUGUGCGGGAAGAUAAUGACGGUACCGCAAGAAUAAGCCCCGGCUAACUUCGUG
RNAcentral lists this ribosomal RNA (435 nucleotides) under uncultured bacterium. RNAcentral describes it as "partial 16S ribosomal RNA". It matches the Rfam family "Bacterial small subunit ribosomal RNA", at positions 29 to 507 of the family's 1533-position model. The record is from RNAcentral.